Caerostris extrusa is the source of this 90-nucleotide non-coding RNA. The record is from the annotation of a GenBank genome assembly. NCBI's taxonomy places the organism in Eukaryota, Metazoa, Arthropoda, Arachnida, Araneae, Araneidae.
AUGGGUUCUCGUUAGAUCACCGAAGUCAAGUAUCAUCGGGCGCGGUCAGUACUUGGGUGGGUGACCCACCUGGGAAUACCACGUGCCGUU